Molecule: ribosomal RNA, 880 nt
Filed under: uncultured bacterium
Lineage: Bacteria
Description: bacterial SSU rRNA
Rfam family: Bacterial small subunit ribosomal RNA
Source: RNAcentral
GUUUGAUCCUGGCUCAGGAUGAACGCUGGCGGCAUGCUUAAUACAUGUAAGUCGAACGAGGUGCUUUUGUCUUCGGAUGGAAGUAUCCUAGCGGCGAACGGGUGAGUAACGCGUUGGUGACCUGCCCCGAAGUGUGGGAUAACAGUUCGAAAGGACUGCUAAUACCGCAUGUGAUCGCUUGGAUCAGAUGCCUUGCGAUCAAAGGAGUAAUCCGCUUUGGGAGGGGCCUGCGUCCCAUCAGCUAGUUGGUAAGGUAAUGGCUUACCAAGGCGAUGACGGGUAGGGGACCUGAGAGGGUGACCCCCCACACUGGCACUGAAACACGGGCCAGACACCUACGGGUGGCAGCAGUAGGGAAUCUUGGACAAUAGGCGAAAGCCUGAUCCAGCAAUGCCGCGUGCACGAUGAAGGUCUUCGGAUUGUAAAGUGCUUUUAGAAGGGAUGAGUAAGGACAGUACCUUCUGAAUAAGCCUCGGCGAACUACGUGCCAGCAGCCGCGGUAAGACGUAGGAGGCAAGCGUUAUCCGGAUUUAUUGGGCGUAAAGCGCGUGCAGGCGGUUUGGUAAGUUGGAUGUGAAAUCUCUUGGCUUAACCGGGAGAGGUCGUUCAAAACUACCAGACUAGAGAGUGGUAGAGGAAGGUGGAAUUCCGGGUGUAGUGGUGAAAUGCGUAGAUAUCCGGAGGAACACCAGUGGCGAAAGCGGCCUUCUGGACCACUUCUGACGCUAAGAUGCGAAAGCUAGGGUAGUAAACGGGAUUAGAGACCCCGGUAAUCCUAGCCGUAAACUAUGUAGACUUGGCGUUGGCGGAGUUAAAUCUGCCAGUGCCGUAGCUAACGCGAUAAGUCCACCGCCUGAGGAUUACGAUCGCAAGGUUAAAA